CCUACGGGAGACAGCAGUGAGGAAUAUUGGUCAAUGGACGCAAGUCUGAACCAGCCAAGUAGCGUGCAGGAUGACGGCCCUACGGGUUGUAAACUGCUUUUGUACGGGGAUAAACGCCUACACGUGUGCCUGUCUGAAGGUAUCGUACGAAUAAGGGUCGGCUAAUUCCGCGCCAGCAGCCGCGGUAAUACGGAGGGCCCGGGCGUUAUCCGGAUUUAUUGGGGUUAAAGGGGGCGUAGGCGGGCGGUUAAGUUAGAGGUGAAAUCGCGCGGCUCAACCGCGGAAUGGCAUCUGAAACUGGACGCCUUGAGUGCACAAACGGCAGGCGGAAUGCAUGGUGUAGCGGUGAAAUGCUUAGAUAUCAUGAAGAACCCCGAUUGCGAAGGCAGCUUGCCGGGGUGCGACUGACGCUGAGGCUCGAAAGUGCGGGUAUCAAACAGGAUUAGAUACCCGGGUAGUC
This 460-nucleotide ribosomal RNA is filed under the name uncultured bacterium. RNAcentral's name for it is "partial 16S ribosomal RNA". It matches the Rfam family "Bacterial small subunit ribosomal RNA", at positions 338 to 795 of the family's 1533-position model. The record is from RNAcentral.